This 424-nucleotide ribosomal RNA is filed under the name Verrucomicrobiota bacterium. RNAcentral's name for it is "Verrucomicrobia bacterium partial 16S ribosomal RNA". It matches the Rfam family "Bacterial small subunit ribosomal RNA", at positions 355 to 776 of the family's 1533-position model. Lineage: Bacteria; Pseudomonadati; Verrucomicrobiota. The record is from RNAcentral.
UGAGGAAUAUUGGUCAAUGGGCGAGAGCCUGAACCAGCCAAGUAGCGUGCAGGAUGACGGCCCUAUGGGUUGUAAACUGCUUUUAUAUGGGAAUAAAGUGAGGGACGUGUCCCUUAUUGCAUGUACCAUACGAAUAAGGACCGGCUAAUUCCGUGCCAGCAGCCGCGGUAAUACGGAAGGUCCAGGCGUUAUCCGGAUUUAUUGGGUUUAAAGGGAGCGUAGGCUGUUUGUUAAGCGUGUUGUGAAAUGUAAGAGCUCAACUUUUAGAUUGCAAAGCGAACUGGCAGACUUGAGUGCGCACAACGUAGGCGGAAUUCAUGGUGUAGCGGUGAAAUGCUUAGAUAUCAUGACGAACACCGAUUGCGAAGGCAGCUUACGGGGGCGCAACUGACGCUAAAGCUCGAAGGUGCGGGUAUCGAACGGG